GACGAACGCUGGCGGCGUGCCUAAUACAUGCAAGUCGAACGCACUCUCGUUUAGAUUGAAGGAGCUUGCUCCUGAUUGAUAAACAUUUGAGUGAGUGGCGGACGGGUGAGUAACACGUGGGUAACCUGCCCUAAAGUGGGGGAUAACAUUUGGAAACAGAUGCUAAUACCGCAUAAAACCUAAACACCGCAUGGUGUAGGGUUGAAAGAUGGUUUCGGCUAUCACUUUAGGAUGGACCCGCGGUGCAUUAGUUAGUUGGUGAGGUAAAGGCUCACCAAGACCGUGAUGCAUAGCCGACCUGAGAGGGUAAUCGGCCACACUGGGACUGAGACACGGCCCAGACUCCUACGGGAGGCAGCAGUAGGGAAUCUUCCACAAUGGACGAAAGUCUGAUGGAGCAACGCCGCGUGAGUGAAGAAGGUUUUCGGAUCGUAAAACUCUGUUGUUGGAGAAGAAUGUAUCUGAUAGUAACUGAUCAGUAGUGACGGUAU
This 491-nucleotide ribosomal RNA is filed under the name uncultured bacterium. RNAcentral's name for it is "bacterial SSU rRNA". It matches the Rfam family "Bacterial small subunit ribosomal RNA", at positions 28 to 478 of the family's 1533-position model. The record is from RNAcentral.